Molecule: long non-coding RNA, 1138 nt
Filed under: Macaca nemestrina (pig-tailed macaque)
Lineage: Eukaryota; Metazoa; Chordata; Mammalia; Primates; Cercopithecidae
Description: lncRNA (ENSMNEG00000045678.1)
Source: RNAcentral
AGCAAUAACCAGGAUGUGAUGGGGAUAAUGAUUUGAGAAAGCUAGGGAAAGUAGACAUCAAAACAAAUUGACCAAAUGUAUAACACUUGGAAUGGAUAAAAGGCUGAAGACUUUCAAGUUUCUGACAAGCAUUACACCACAGGGUCACAGCCCUGAGCGUCUACCAUCCCCUUCUCCAGCCUCCCUUAACAACGCAAAAGCAGCCCUCACCCUGCCUGCUUUAAACCCUGCACUAACUAAGCCACCAGAUACAUCCAGCAACUGAGACAGGAGCUGCUGUCUGGUGGGCAGAAAAUACUUUCACUAUUUGUCCUUGAAUUAAGCAGUGAAGAAGACAACUUUCAACAUUUAAAUUUCAGACUGUUUUCCAACCACUCAUUUCCAAAUGGACCAUUCAUUUUGCACAAAUGUUAUCCAGACCUGAAUGCCUGAGAAGGAACCCCUUCUUGAUAUAGGUGAGAACUCUGACACAUCCAGAUUUUGUAAGCUGCAUAGAAUGAAUUUCACAGGAUGCAUCCAAUUCAUGGACUCUUACAAGAUUGUAUCAAUACCUACAGCUCUGACCUCUGGGGUAAGUAGUUGUGCUGCUAUGCACAGUUGUUGAAGUUGUGCACAACCUAUCCUGUCAUAUGCACCAACCCUGAUUAAGUGACAGUUAAUUCUUUACAUUCCAAACUUGGCUCUUUCUGAUGUGAGGAAUUAUCCAUCUACUCUAAUGUUUUCAGUCAUCUUUUGGAAUGCAAGCAUCUACUCUACUGCCAUCAAUCAAUAAUAUCUUUAAUGUCGUGCACAAGUCCUUAUGCCAGACCAUUGGAGGUACUGCAAAAGGUAUGAAGUGUAGGCCUUACCAUCAAUGAAGUUAAAGAUUCUAUGGAGAAAUGAAACUGACAUGAUUGAAAAAUUUAUUAAUAUUAUAGAAAGUGAUAUGGUGUGGCUGUGUCCCCACCCAAAUCUCAUCUUGAAUUCUCACAUGUUGUGGGAAGAACCCAGUAGGAGGUAAUUGAAUCAUGGGGGCAAGUCUUUCCCAUGUUGUUCUCAUGAUAGUGAAUAAGUCUCACAAGAUCUGAUGGUUUUUUUAAAGAGGAAUUCCCAUGCACAAGCUCUCCCUUUGCCUGCUGCCAUCCAUGUAAGAUGUGAC